Molecule: ribosomal RNA, 491 nt
Filed under: uncultured bacterium
Lineage: Bacteria
Description: partial 16S ribosomal RNA
Rfam family: Bacterial small subunit ribosomal RNA
Source: RNAcentral
AGUGAACGCUGGCGGUAGGCCUAACACAUGCAAGUCGAACGGAAGCACAGUAAGAGCUUGCUCUUACGGGUGGCGAGUGGCGGACGGGUGAGGAAUACAUUGGGCUCUACUUUUUCGUGGGGGAUAACGUAGGGAAACUUACGCUAAUACAGCAUACGACCUACGGGUGAAGGCAGUGGAACUUCGGAGCUUGCGCGGUUGAAUGAGCCGAUGUCGGAUUAGCUAGUUGGCGGGUUAAAGGCCCACCAAGGGGACGAUCCGUAGCUGGUCUGAGAGGAUGAUCAGCCACACUGAAACUGAGACACGGUCUAGACUCCGACGGGCGGCAGCAGUGGGUAAGAGUGGACAAUGUGCGCAAGCCUGAUCCAGCCAUACCGCGUGGGUGAAGAAGGCCUGCGUGUUGUAAAGCCCUUUUGUUGGGAAAGAAAAGCAGCAGGUUAAUACCCGCUGUUCUGACGGUACCCAAAGAAUAAGCACCGGCUAACUUCGUG